Long non-coding RNA from Symsagittifera roscoffensis, 226 nucleotides. RefSeq lists it as uncharacterized. Lineage: Eukaryota; Metazoa; Xenacoelomorpha; Acoela; Convolutidae. The transcript is spliced from 3 exons. The record is from RefSeq and is a predicted model, not a curated record.
CGAGUUCUUCUGUGGUCACAAUCAAUCUGCCUUUGCAAUAAUGAUGAAUACAACUGAAUCCGAGGAGACCUUUUGGGAGAAAUGGGUGAAGCCAUUGGAAGACAUAGAUGACCCUGCUAUGAUUCGGACUCGAUACUUCAUGAUCAUUUGGCUCUGCAUGGCUCUCCUUCUCGGAAUUCCUGGAAACCUGCUUGUGAUUGCAUCCGUGGCAGUUGUGAAGAAUCUU